GGUCGUAUGACAGACAGCCAGGAUCUGGUCUGUAGAGGGCAAGGCAGUGUUGACAGUGGCUGGACACACAGAUGUGGUGAAAGAUGUAGCCUGGUCAAAAGAGAUGGUCUGACCUCUCUGCUUCUGACCGCCUCUCUGGACCAAAACAUCCUGCUGUGGGAGUGGAACUCCGAGAGGACAAGGUGAAAGCCAGACACUGCUGUCGGGGACACACAGGGAGUGUUGACACUGUUUCCACAGACCCCACUGGCUCAAAGUUCUGCAGUGGCUCCUGGACAAAAUGUUGAAGAUUUGGUCU
Micropterus salmoides (largemouth bass) is the source of this 298-nucleotide long non-coding RNA. RefSeq lists it as uncharacterized. NCBI's taxonomy places the organism in Eukaryota, Metazoa, Chordata, Actinopteri, Centrarchiformes, Centrarchidae. The transcript is spliced from 3 exons. The record is from RefSeq and is a predicted model, not a curated record.